Molecule: transfer RNA, 84 nt
Filed under: Promethearchaeota archaeon
Lineage: Archaea; Promethearchaeati; Promethearchaeota
Description: Candidatus Lokiarchaeota archaeon tRNA-Ile
Rfam family: tRNA
About the family: Transfer RNA (tRNA) molecules are approximately 80 nucleotides in length.
Source: RNAcentral
GGGCCAUUUGCUUAGCCUGGUUAAAGCGCAGGUCUUAUAUUCCUCAAGGCAUGGAAAUCCGGGGUUCAAAUCCCCGAUGGCCCA